GAUGAACGCUGGCGGCGUGCCUAAUACAUGCAAGUCGAGCGAACAGACGAGGAGCUUGCUCCUCUGACGUUAGCGGCGGACGGGUGAGUAACAUGUGGAUAACCUACCUAUAAGACUGGGAUAACUUCGGGAAACCGGAGCUAAUACCGGAUAAUAUAUUGAACCGCAUGGUUCAAUAGUGAAAGACGGUUUUGCUGUCACUUAUAGAUGGAUCCGCGCCGCAUUAGCUAGUUGGUAAGGUAACGGCUUACCAAGGCAACGAUGCGUAGCCGACCUGAGAGGGUGAUCGGCCACACUGGAACGGAGACACGGUCCAGACUCCUACGGGAGGCAGCAGUAGGGAAUCUUCCGCAAUGGGCGAAAGCCUGACGGAGCAACGCCGCGUGAGUGAUGAAGGUCUUCGGAUCGUAAAACUCUGUUAUUAGGGAAGAACAAAUGUGUAAGUAACUAUGCACGUCUGGACGGUACCUAAUCAGAAAGCCACGGCUAACUACGU
This 496-nucleotide ribosomal RNA is filed under the name uncultured bacterium. Its description in RNAcentral is "partial 16S ribosomal RNA". It matches the Rfam family "Bacterial small subunit ribosomal RNA", at positions 28 to 506 of the family's 1533-position model. The record is from RNAcentral.